This 79-nucleotide ribosomal RNA is filed under the name Clostridioides difficile. Lineage: Bacteria; Bacillati; Bacillota; Clostridia; Peptostreptococcales; Peptostreptococcaceae. The record is from RNAcentral.
UGGUUAUAAUAGCAGAGAGGAUACACCUGUUCCCAUUCCGAACACAGAAGUUAAGCUCUCUAGCGCUGAUGGUACUUGG